AUUGAACGCUGGCGGCAGGCCUAACACAUGCAAGUCGAACGGUAACAGGAAGAUGCUUGCUUCUUUGCUGACGAGUGGCGGACGGGUGAGUAAUGUCUGGGAAACUGCCUGAUGGAGGGGGCUAACUACUGGAGACGGUAGCUAAUACCGCAUAAUGUCGCAAGACCAAAGAGGGGGACCUUCGGGCCUCUUGCCCUCGGAUGUGCCCUGAUGGGAUUAGCUAGUAGGUGGGGUAACGGCUCACCUAGGCGACGAUCCCUAGCUGGUCUGAGAGGAUGACCAGCCACACUGGAACUGAGACACGGUCCAGACUCCUACGGGAGGCAGCAGUGGGGAAUAUUGCACAAUGGGCGCAAGCCUGAUGCAGCGAUGGCGCGUGUAUGAAGAAGGCCUGCGGGUUGUAAAGUACUUUCAGCGGGGAGGAAGGGAGUAAAGUUAAUACCUUUGCUCAUUGACGUUACCCGCAGAAGAAGCACCGGCUAACUACGUG
Molecule: ribosomal RNA, 490 nt
Filed under: uncultured bacterium
Lineage: Bacteria
Description: partial 16S ribosomal RNA
Rfam family: Bacterial small subunit ribosomal RNA
Source: RNAcentral